Molecule: transfer RNA, 75 nt
Filed under: Candidatus Altimarinota bacterium
Lineage: Bacteria; Candidatus Altimarinota
Description: tRNA-Glu
Rfam family: tRNA
About the family: Transfer RNA (tRNA) molecules are approximately 80 nucleotides in length. Their secondary structure includes four short double-helical elements and three loops (D, anti-codon, and T loops). Further hydrogen bonds mediate the characteristic L-shaped molecular structure. tRNAs have two regions of fundamental functional importance: the anti-codon, which is responsible for specific mRNA codon recognition, and the 3' end, to which the tRNAs corresponding amino acid is attached (by aminoacyl-tRNA synthetases). tRNAs cope with the degeneracy of the genetic code in two manners: having more than one tRNA (with a specific anti-codon) for a particular amino acid; and 'wobble' base-pairing, i.e. permitting non-standard base-pairing at the 3rd anti-codon position.
Source: RNAcentral
GUUCCCAUCGUCUAGUGGUUAGGACUCUGCCUUCUCAAGGCAGUAACCGGAGUUCAAUUCUCCGUGGGAAUACCA